GCUUUCUACGGCCAGGGCCUGGGCCGGGUGGGAGGAGCCGGACACAGAGCUGGAGGCUAAGGGAGCGUUCGGGCGUGCAGACUCAGGGCUCAGCCUUCCGAGCACCACCUUUCUUCACUUCCCAGGUGAAUGCUGUCCUGCGGCCGCCCUGACGGAAAACUUACAAGGACUGCAGCUGGGGGAUUGGCUUAGGCGUUCUCACAAGUCUCAGAUCAUGAAAGCGCCUCGCUCCAUUCUUAAGAUUUUGUGCCUGGAGAAGAUACCCAGCCAUCUUCAUUCCGUUCUCCUCCCUCGACCUGACGCGUUUAUGUGAAAACAAGGCCAGCGCGUGGAAUCAUGGAACCUGAGUACACGGGCUCCUCACACCGGCCAGAAUUGCUCCUCUCAGGGCUGAACAAUAAACUGCACUGGGUUCUCGUAUAAAUGCUCCAAACUCCGCGUAUGUGUGUGUUUCUGUGUGUGUGUUAACUUUGGAGCUUAUUAAAAUCUACAAAUACAGACCGGCUCCUCUAAAAAAGUGUGGCUGUAGUUACCAAGCUUUCCACUUGAGGGAACCAAAGGGCUACAUCUGAAAGAAAGUUGAGGCGGGAAAAACUUCCAGAGCUUUUCCAGAAGUCUUUUCUGAGGAGAAAUGAAAUCUGAGGGGUGUGUGCCCGUAACCAAAUCAGUGUAACUGCUGGAGGCUUCGUCUCAGCCUCUAUUUGGUAUCAUCCACGCCGCCUCUCUUGCUCUUUUGUUUUGACUGGAAAUGCUGAAGUAGCGGAGGACAGCUGUGAACUGACAUCUUGUCUACCCCAUUGUGGGAUGCGGUGACGGGAGAAACAAAGCUCCCCGGGCUUUGCACCCACUCCAUGCGGCCUCCAUGGGUGGCUUCCCCAGACUUCCCGUCUCCCAUCUUCCAGUGUGGAUGGAGAGAGAGGAGCAGAGAGGCAGCAGAAUGUCCAGAGCCUUACAUGAGGGGGAUCAAGUCUUUCCCUUGAGGAGCUGAUAAUCUGGCUGAAGACAGAUGCACUAACCCGCCCACAUGUAACCUUGGAAUCUGAGAUACAGC
This 1051-nucleotide long non-coding RNA is filed under the name Heterocephalus glaber (naked mole-rat). RNAcentral's name for it is "lncRNA (ENSHGLG00100038747.1)". The record is from RNAcentral. Lineage: Eukaryota; Metazoa; Chordata; Mammalia; Rodentia; Bathyergidae.